CCUUACCUACCUUGACAUGUCCGGAAUCCGAAGAGAUUUGGGAGUGCUCGCAAGAGAGCCGUAACACAGGUGCUGCAUGGCUGUCGUCAGCUCGUGUCGUGAGAUGUUGGGUUAAGUCCCGCAACGAGCGCAACCCUUGUCAUUAGUUGCUACAUUCAGUUGGGCACUCUAAUGAGACUGCCGGUGACAAACCGGAGGAAGGUGGGGAUGACGUCAAGUCCUCAUGGCCCUUAUAGGUGGGGCUACACACGUCAUACAAUGGAUGGUACAAAGGGUCGCCAACCCGCGAGGGGGAGCCAAUCCCAUAAAGCCAUUCGUAGUCCGGAUCGCAGUCUGCAACUCGACUGCGUGAAGUCGGAAUCGCUAGUAAUCGUGGAUCAGAAUGUCACGGUGGAUACGUUCCCGGGUCUU
This 411-nucleotide ribosomal RNA is filed under the name uncultured Acidovorax sp. RNAcentral's name for it is "bacterial SSU rRNA". It matches the Rfam family "Bacterial small subunit ribosomal RNA", at positions 969 to 1382 of the family's 1533-position model. Lineage: Bacteria; Pseudomonadati; Pseudomonadota; Betaproteobacteria; Burkholderiales; Comamonadaceae. The record is from RNAcentral.